This 458-nucleotide ribosomal RNA is filed under the name uncultured bacterium. RNAcentral's name for it is "partial 16S ribosomal RNA". It matches the Rfam family "Bacterial small subunit ribosomal RNA", at positions 338 to 795 of the family's 1533-position model. The record is from RNAcentral.
CCUACGGGUGGCAGCAGUGAGGAAUAUUGGUCAAUGGGCGGGAGCCUGAACCAGCCAUGCCGCGUGAAGGCGAGUGCCCUACGGGCGUUAAACUUCUUUUGUGCGGGAGCAAUAAGGGCCACGCGUGGCCCGAUGAGAGUACCGCACGAAUAAGCAUCGGCCAACCCCGUGCCAGCAGCCGCGGUAAUACGGGGGAUGCGAGCGUUAUCCGGUUUUUUUGGGGUUAAAGGGUGCGCAGGCGGAAGAUCAAGUCUGCGGUAAAAUUGGGAGGGUAAACCUCUUCGAGCCGUUGAAACUGGUUUUCUUGAGUGUGUGUGAGGUAUGCGGAAUGCGUGGUGUAGCGGUGAAAUGCAUAGAUAUCACGCAGAACUCCGAUUGCGAAGGCAGCAUACCGGCGCUCAACUGACGCUCAUGCACGAAAGUGUGGGUAUCGAACAGGAUUAGAUACCCCAGUAGUC